Molecule: ribosomal RNA, 385 nt
Filed under: uncultured bacterium
Lineage: Bacteria
Description: bacterial SSU rRNA
Rfam family: Bacterial small subunit ribosomal RNA
Source: RNAcentral
AAUCAACGCUGGCGGCGUGCCUAACACAUGCAAGUCGAACGCGAAAGUGGAGCAAUCCAUGAGUAGAGUGGCAAACGGGUGAGUAACACGUGGGCGAACCUGCCUUGAGUGGGGGAUAACUUCCCGAAAGGGGAGCUAAUACCGCAUGACAUACCGUGUUUCGAUACACGGAUAUCAAAGCUGGGGAUCGUAAGACCUGGCGCUUGAAGAGGGGCCCGCGUCCGAUUAGCUAGUUGGUGGGGUAAUGGCUCACCAAGGCUCCGAUCGGUAUCCGGCCUGAGAGGGCGGACGGACACACUGGAACUGAGACACGGUCCAGACUCCUACGGGAGCAGCAGUGGGGAAUUGUUCGCAAUGGGCGCAAGCCUGACGACGCAACGCCGCG